AUGGCAAUGGCAACGGCGCCGCGGCGGAGGGCGAGCAUGGGGCGGCAGAAGAUCGAGAUCCGGAAGAUCGAGAGCGAGGAGGCGCGGCAGGUGUGCUUCUCCAAGCGCCGGGCCGGCCUGUUCAAGAAGGCGAGCGAGCUGGCCGUGCUGUGCGGCGCCGAGGUUGCCGCCGUCGUCUUCUCCCCCGCAGGCAAGGCCUUCUCCUUCGGCCACCCCUCCGUCGAGGCCAUCUUUGACCGCUUCGUCCCCUCCGCCGCGCAGCAUCCCGGGGCGGUGGCUGCCGGCGCGGGCCUGGGCGCCUCGGGCGACCGCAACCUGGCGGAGCUGAACCGGCAGUACGGCGAGCUGCGCACGCAGCUGGAGGCGGAGAAGGCGCGGAAGGAGCGCGCGGAGGAGGCCAUGGCGAAGGAGCGCGCCGCGGGCAACCAGAUGGCGGCGUGGCUCGACGCCGACCUGCGCGACAUGGGGGAGGAGGAGCUGAUGGCCUUCGCCGCCGCGCUGGUGGAGGUGCAGGCCGCCGUCUCGGAGCGCGCCAACCAGGUGCUCCAGGAGGCGCUAAACGUCGGCCGCUCCAGGAGCGCCAGCCGCAUGCUCCAGGCGCCCCCACCGCACCAGCAGCAGCAGCAGCUCGCCGGGGGCGGUACCUUCGAGUUCGGUGGCACCAGCACCAACGCCGGUAUGGAGAUACAGCAAAUGCUGCUGGCGAUGCCUCCGCCGCCCCCGCCGGGGUUCGCCCCAGGAAUGGACAUAGUGCAACACGGCGGAUUCCCCUAUUGA
This 777-nucleotide ribosomal RNA is filed under the name Triticum aestivum (bread wheat). RNAcentral's name for it is "partial small subunit ribosomal RNA". Lineage: Eukaryota; Viridiplantae; Streptophyta; Magnoliopsida; Poales; Poaceae. The record is from RNAcentral.